RNAcentral lists this ribosomal RNA (301 nucleotides) under uncultured bacterium. RNAcentral describes it as "partial 16S ribosomal RNA". It matches the Rfam family "Bacterial small subunit ribosomal RNA", at positions 509 to 807 of the family's 1533-position model. The record is from RNAcentral.
CAGCAGCCGCGGGAAUACGUAGGUGGCAAGCGUUGUCCGGAAUUAUUGGGCGUAAAGGGCUCGCAGGCGGUUUCUCAAGUCUGAUGUGAAAGCCCCCGGCUCAACCGGGGAGGGUCAUUGGAAACUGGGAAACUUGAGUGCAGAAGAGGAGAGUGGAAUUCCACGUGUAGCGGUGAAAUGCGUAGAGAUGUGGAGGAACACCAGUGGCGAAGGCGACUCUCUGGUCUGUAACUGACGCUGAGGAGCGAAAGCGUGGGGAGCGAACAGGAUUAGAUACCCGGGUAGUCCCUGUCUCUUAUAC